GACGAACGCUGGCGGCGUGCUUAACACAUGCAAGUCGAACGAAAAGAGGGAAAGAGCUUGCUCCUUCCGGAAUUGAGUGGCAAACGGGUGAGUAACACGUAAACAACCUGCCUUCAGGAUGGGGACAACAGACGGAAACGACUGCUAAUACCGAAUAAGUUCCAAGAGCCGCAUGGCCCAUGGAAGAAAAGGUGGCCUCUACCUGUAAGCUAUCGCCUGAAGAGGGGUUUGCGUCUGAUUAGCUGGUUGGAGGGGUAACGGCCCACCAAGGCGACGAUCAGUAGCCGGUCUGAGAGGAUGAACGGCCACACUGGAACUGAGACACGGUCCAGACUCCUACGGGAGGCAGCAGUGGGGAAUCUUCCGCAAUGGGCGAAAGCCUGACGGAGCAACGCCGCGUGAGUGAUGACGGCCUUCGGGUUGUAAAACUCUGUGAUCCGGGACGAAAAGGCAGAGUGCGAAGAACAAACUGCAUUGACGGUACCGGAAAAGCAAGCCACGGCUAACUACGUG
This 513-nucleotide ribosomal RNA is filed under the name uncultured bacterium. RNAcentral's name for it is "partial 16S ribosomal RNA". It matches the Rfam family "Bacterial small subunit ribosomal RNA", at positions 28 to 507 of the family's 1533-position model. The record is from RNAcentral.